UACGGGAGGCAGCAGUGGGGAAUCUUGCGCAAUGGGCGAAAGCCUGACGCAGCCAUGCCGCGUGAAUGAUGAAGGUCUUAGGAUUGUAAAAUUCUUUCACCGGGGACGAUAAUGACGGUACCCGGAGAAGAAGCCCCGGCUAACUUCGUGCCAGCAGCCGCGGUAAUACGAAGGGGCUAGCGUUGCUCGGAAUUACUGGGCGUAAAGGGCGCGUAGGCGGAUCGUUAAGUCAGAGGUGAAAUCCCAGGGCUCAACCCUGGAACUGCCUUUGAUACUGGCGAUCUUGAGUAUGAGAGAGGUAUGUGGAACUCCGAGUGUAGAGGUGAAAUUCGUAGAUAUUCGGAAGAACACCAGUGGCGAAGGCGACAUACUGGCUCAUUACUGACGCUGAGGGCGCGAAAGCGUGGGGAGCAAACGAGGAUUAGAUACC
Molecule: ribosomal RNA, 430 nt
Filed under: uncultured bacterium
Lineage: Bacteria
Description: bacterial SSU rRNA
Rfam family: Bacterial small subunit ribosomal RNA
Source: RNAcentral